RNAcentral lists this long non-coding RNA (1436 nucleotides) under Strigops habroptila (Kakapo). Its description in RNAcentral is "lncRNA (ENSSHBG00005004587.1)". Lineage: Eukaryota; Metazoa; Chordata; Aves; Psittaciformes; Psittacidae. The record is from RNAcentral.
GCGUCUGGGACGCGGGCCGGCGUGGGGGUCCUGGCUUCGUGGCGGCGGGGCUCAAGGACUUUGCCAGUUCCCAGUGGCUACAACCUGUUAUCCCGCAGGCUGUGUAGGAGUCUCAGCAGGACCUUCAAGACAUCCACUCUGCCUCCAGACACUCCUCCCCACACAUGCAGAAGGCCCUGGAGCUGAGACUGAGCUGACCUAUAAACAGUCUACUCCAAACAGAUCACACCGGGGAUAUCCUGGAAUAAUCAAAGCUGAACUGAAAAGCUGGGAAGCCUGGGGUGGCAGUUCUUCGUGGCUGUGCAGGGAAUGGGGAGGGAAAGGGUGGAGCGGGGCAGAAAGAGAAGCAAUAGAAAGCAAGCAGGCAUCUAGGGAAGCACUCUGCAUAGCAGAGGUAAUGUUUUGGACCCUGAAUGACUCCUGCCUGGCUUUUAUCCCACGGUGUGCCUGCGUGCUCAUGAAUACUGGCUAUCGGUAACGCUGUAACCUGACACAAAAAUGUUGCAGCCGGGCACAGCUUUUUUCAGUGGGUACGAGAGGAAGGAAGCUGUGCCUGAUCGCAUGCAAGAUCCAGCCAGAAAGGGUAGCUGCUAAGGGAACAAAUGACUCCUUGCAGAAAAAUGCACGGGUCCAGUCAUCAAAGCGUGCUUUAACUGCGGAGCGCUGUCCCGAGCUGCCGAGGAUGGCUGCGCAGUAGCCAGGUUGCACAGCAACCCCCUUCUCAGCAUGCCCUGCCAGGGCUGCAGUCGGGGCUCCGGCAGAAGGAGGUCGGGCACUGCCGAAAAGCUGGGGCAUGUUACAGGAGUUGUGUUUGUUGCUGUGGGAACGAAGCUGGCUCUGACUGUGGUUGUGGGCAGAAGUCUAGGCUUCUCCAAGAUGGAUUGGGGUGGGGGGUGGGAUUCCUCUGAGACACAAAAAGUUUACUCAUCUGACAGACAUCCUGCUGCUGUUGCUGUCCUGUAAACGGGAGGGCCCCGGGUGAUACUUGUGUCAAAGAGGUUUGGCGGUGUACAUCAUGCCUGUGGGUGGGAGGGCACUGUGGCCCCAUGCUGCAGUAGUAAAAUAGCCAUUUUGAUGGUAAACUCAUGUCUACAAGUCAGGUUUUCCAGGCAGAGGUGGCUUAGUAAUCUUCAUGAGCUCUUUACCCAAUUCAGUUAUGCCUUCAAGCUUUUAUAGAUUGAGAAAAUACAACACUAGUUAAAAAACUAUAUAUAGUAUUUAAUAUAUAUGUAUCUACUUACAUCUAUACAAUGACAUGAAAAUGUAAUAAUGUUUUGCAAAUAUGCAAAUAUGUUUUCACUCCCUGCAAGUUUCCAAACUUACAUAACAUAUUUAGCUUCAUCUUCUUGUUUUAUGAGUAAAAUACAGCGUUGGAUAUAUAUUGCAUAUAUUGUUAGUUGAAUGCAUGUUGAGAAGAAAUCUGGUUUUUGAAAGAU